This 468-nucleotide ribosomal RNA is filed under the name uncultured bacterium. RNAcentral describes it as "partial 16S ribosomal RNA". It matches the Rfam family "Bacterial small subunit ribosomal RNA", at positions 28 to 507 of the family's 1533-position model. The record is from RNAcentral.
GACGAACGCUGGCGGCGUGCUUAACACAUGCAAGUCGAACGGAAAGGCCCUGCUUUUGUGGGGUGCUCGAGUGGCGAACGGGUGAGUAACACGUGAGUAACCUGCCCUUGACUUUGGGAUAACUUCAGGAAACUGGGGCUAAUACCGGAUAGGAGCUCCUGCUGCAUGGUGGGGGUUGGAAAGUUUCGGCGGUUGGGGAUGGACUCGCGGCUUAUCAGCUUGUUGGUGGGGUAGUGGCUUACCAAGGCUUUGACGGGUAGCCGGCCUGAGAGGGUGACCGGCCACAUGGGGACUGAGAGACGGCCCAGACUCCUACGGGAGGCAGCAGUGGGGAAUAUUGCACAAUGGGCGGAAGCCUGAUGCAGCAACGCCGCGUGCGGGAUGACGGCCUUCGGGGUGUAAACCGCUUUCGCCUGUGACGAAGCGUGAGUGACGGUAAUGGGUAAAGAAGCACCGGCUAACUACGUG